CCCUUAGAUGUCCUGGGCCGCACGCGCGCUACACUGAGUGUCUGAGAUACGAGUCUGCCUGGUCCGGCAAGGUCUAGGUAAUCGCUAAAAGACACAUCAUGCUUGGGAUAGAUUAUUGCAAAUAUUAAUCUUGAACGAGGAAUUCCUAGUAAGCGCAAGUCAACAGCUUGCGUUGAUUACGUCCCUGCCCUUGUACACACCGCCCGUCGCUACUACUGAUUGGAUGUUUAAGCGAGGUUCUCGAACUGCUAGCGACUUAGCUUCGGUGAGGUCGCAGUGUGGGAAGUGAACCUAGCUUUGGUGUCUAGAGGAAGUAAAAGUCGUAACA
This 328-nucleotide ribosomal RNA is filed under the name uncultured eukaryote. RNAcentral describes it as "partial 18S ribosomal RNA". It matches the Rfam family "Eukaryotic small subunit ribosomal RNA", at positions 1470 to 1796 of the family's 1831-position model. The record is from RNAcentral.